RNAcentral lists this ribosomal RNA (1106 nucleotides) under uncultured bacterium. Its description in RNAcentral is "bacterial SSU rRNA". It matches the Rfam family "Bacterial small subunit ribosomal RNA", at positions 43 to 1098 of the family's 1533-position model. The record is from RNAcentral.
UGCGCCGCUANCAUGCAAGUCGAACGGAGCUUGCAGCCAACACCGUGUAGUUGCGGAGCAGCUACAGGGUGUUGGAUGUAAGUUUAGUGGCGGACGGGUGAGUAACACGUGAGCAACCUGCCGAAGAGUGGGGGAUAACGUUUGGAAACGAACGCUAAUACCGCAUAACACCAUUGAGUGGCAUCACUUGAUGGUCAAAGGAGCAAUCCGCUUUUUGAUGGGCUCGCGCCCGAUUAGGUAGUUGGUGGGGUAAUGGCCUACCAAGCCCGCGAUCGGUAGCCGGACUGAGAGGUUGAACGGCCACAUUGGGACUGAGACACGGCCCAGACUCCUACGGGAGGCAGCAGUGGGGGAUAUUGCACAAUGGGGGAAACCCUGAUGCAGCGACGCCGCGUGAGUGAAGACGGUCUUCGGAUUGUAAAGCUCUGUUGCAGAGGACGAUAAUGACGGUACUCUGUGAGGAAGCCACGGCUAACUACGUGCCAGCAGCCGCGGUAAUACGUAGGUGGCAAGCGUUGUCCGGAAUUACUGGGUGUAAAGGGAGCGUAGGCGGGACUGCAAGUUGGAUGUGAAAUACCCGGGCUUAACCCGGGGGCUGCAUCCAAAACUGUGGUUCUUGAGUGAUGUAGAGGCAGGCGGAAUUCCUAGUGUAGCGGUGAAAUGCGUAGAUAUUAGGAGGAACACCAGUGGCGAAGGCGGCCUGCUGGGCAUUAACUGACGCUGAGGCUCGAAAGCGUGGGGAGCAAACAGGAUUAGAUACCCCUGGUAGUCCACGCUGUAAACGAUGAUUACUAGGUGUGGGGGGACUGACCCCUUCCGUGCCGGAGUUAACACAAUAAGUAAUCCACCUGGGGAGUACCGNCCGCAGGGUUGAAACUCAAAGGGAANUUGACGGGGGCCCCGCCACAAGCAGUGGAAUUAUGUGGUUUUAAUUUCGAAGCCACCCCGAAAAAACCUUACCCAGGUCUUGNACAUCCCCAUGCCAUUACUGUAAAANAUACAGGNAAACCCCNUUCCGGGCAUGGAAAAACCGGUNGGUGNCAUGGGUUGUUCCCCCCACCCNCNUGUCCNUNGAAAAUNUUUGGGUUUAANUUCCCCCAACNAAG